GACGUAGGGUCCAAGCGUUAUCCGGAUUUACUGGGCGUAAAGCGCGCGUAGGCGGUCUGUUAAGUGCACAAGUGAAAGCUCCGGGCUCAACUCGGAAAUUGCUUUGCAUACUGGCAGGCUGGAGGGACGCAGAGGUCUGUGGAAUUCCUGGUGUAACGGUGAAAUGUGUUGAUAUCAGGAGGAACACCCAUGGCGAAGGCAGCAGACUGGGCGUUUCCUGACGCUGAGGCGCGAAAGCUAGGGUAGCAAACGGG
Molecule: ribosomal RNA, 254 nt
Filed under: uncultured bacterium
Lineage: Bacteria
Description: partial 16S ribosomal RNA
Rfam family: Bacterial small subunit ribosomal RNA
Source: RNAcentral